Molecule: long non-coding RNA, 611 nt
Organism: Onychomys torridus (southern grasshopper mouse)
Lineage: Eukaryota; Metazoa; Chordata; Mammalia; Rodentia; Cricetidae
Exons: 3
Source: RefSeq, a predicted model, not a curated record
AGCUCCAGGCUGGCGCAGGGGCCAGAGGUCGGUGUCCGCCCGGCUCUCGGAGGUGGCUCAUUUCCGCCUCGUGGAGUUCCGCUUCCAGAACGCAUUCCCUAAGGCAGUUAAGAGCCCGCCUGGCUUCUUAGAGUCUGUCAGGGAAGCUGGCUAAAAGUUACAUGUCCCCCAUAGGUCAGACCUGAUCCUGCCUGCGAAAAAGCUUGAAGAGAAAACCAAGAGGUUUUUCCUGUCUACCUUUUAGAUGUUACUUAUGUGUGGGUGCAGACAUGCCAUGGCAUGCAUGUGGCGGUCAGGUGACAACUUAUAGAGCUGGUUCUCCUUUCACCAGGUGAGAGGACACAGAAGUAACAACCCAGCAGCGCAAGGUUGGGAAGAGCCUGGAUCUUGGUUCUAAGACCAUUCUCCAGUAAACGCAAGCAGGUUCAUCGAGGAAAUAGAAGAUUUCAGAAGUGGGCCAAGAAAUAUACUAGAUGAGCCUUGAGUAUCUUGUAGUCCCAGAAAAUAAGCAAGUGCUUUAAAAUAGGAUUCUAUCAAAUGGAUGGAUGUGUACGUCAACUGAAAGAAUUGCCAAAGGCAAAGUUGGAACAACUAGAACAAUAAAAUGAAGA